GGGGUUAUAUGGUCAAGCGAUGAAGCGCGCACGGUGGAUGCCUAGGCAGCCAGAGGCGAUGAAGGACGUGACAGCCUGCGAUAAGGCUCGGUGAGGUGGCAAAUAACCUGCGACCCGGGCAUUUCCGAAUGGGGUAACCCACUCACCGUCAGGUGAGUAUCCAUGAGCCAAUACAUAACUCAUGGAAGCAAACCGGGAGAACUGAAACAUCUAAGUAUCCCGAGGAACAGAAAUCAACCGAGAUUCCCCAAGUAGUGGCGAGCGAACGGGGAGCAGCCCUUAAGCAUGUGACUGGCUAGACAAAGUGUCUGGAAAGGCACGCCAUAGCGGGUGACAGCCCCGUAGUCGAAAGCCUGAUCAUGUGAAAUCGAGUAGGUCGGGGCACGUGAAACCCUGACUGAAGACGGGGGGACCAUCCUCCAAGGCUAAAUACUCCUGGCUGACCGAUAGUGAACCAGUACCGUGAGGGAAAGGCGAAAAGAACCCCGGUGAGGGGAGUGAAACAGAUCCUGAAACCGUGUGCGUACAAGCAGUGGGAGCACUCUCGAAGUGUGACCGCGUACCUUUUGUAUAAUGGGUCAGCGACUUGUUGUCGGUAGCGAGCUUAACCGCAUAGGGGAGGCGCAGGGAAACCGAGUCUUAACAGGGCGCGCAGUUGCCGGCAACAGACCCGAAACCGGGCGAUCUAUCCAUGGCCAGGGUGAAGGUCAGGUAACACUGACUGGAGGCCCGAACCGGGGUUCGUUGAAAAGAACUCGGAUGAGCUGUGGAUCGGAGUGAAAGGCUAAUCAAGCCCGGAGAUAGCUGGUUCUCCUCGAAAGCUAUUUGGGUAGCGCCUCACGUAUUACCACCGGGGGUAGAGCACUGUUUCGGCUAGGGGCCCAUCCCGGGUUACCAAACCGAGGCAAACUCCGAAUACCGGUGAGUACAGCGUGGGAGACAGACAGCGGGUGCUAACGUCCGUUGUCAAGAGGGAAACAACCCGGACCGCCAGCCAAGGUCCCCAAAUCCCGGUUGAGUGGGAAACGAUGUGGGAAGGCUCAGACAGCCAGGAGGUUGGCUUAGAAGCAGCCAUCCUUUAAAGAAAUGCGUAAUAGSUCACUGGUCGAGUCGGCCUGCGCGGAAGAUGUAACGGGGCUAAACCGGGURCCGAAGCUGCGGGCGUGUCCUUCGGACACGCGGUAGAGGAGCGUUGUGUACGUCUGCGAAGGUGUGUCGUGAGGCAUGCUGGAGAUAUCACAAGUGCGAAUGCUGACAUGAGUAACGAUAAGGGGAGUGAAAACCUCCCCCGCCGGAAGACCAAGGGUUCCUGUUCGACGUCAAUCGGAGCAGGGUGAGUCGGCCCCUAAGGCGAGGCCGAAAGGCGUAGUCGAUGGGAAACGGGUCAAUAUUCCCGUACCGGAUGUCAUUGCGAUGGGGGGACGAAGAAGGCCAGGUGAGCCGGGCGUCGGUUGCCCCGGUGAAAGCAUGUAGGCCGAGCGAUCAGGCAAAUCCGAUCGCUCAUCGGUCGAGAUGCGAGACGAACAUCCCACGGGAUGGAAGUCACUGAUGCCACGCUUCCGGGAAAAGCCUCUAAGCUUCAGAUGACAUGCGACCGUACCCCAAACCGACACAGGUGGUCAGGUAGAGAAUACCGAGGCGCUUGAGAGAACCCGGGUGAAGGAACUAGGCAAAAUGGCACCGUAACUUCGGGAGAAGGUGCGCCGGUGACCGUGACAGCCCUCGCGGCUCGAGCGGGCACCGGCCGAAGAGACCAGGUGGCUGCAACUGUUUACUAAAAACACAGCACUCUGCCAACGCGCAAGCGGACGUAUAGGGUGUGACGCCUGCCCGGUGCCGGAAGGUUAAGUGAUGGUGUCAGCCCCUUCGGGGGUGAAGCUCCUGAUCGAAGCCCCGGUAAACGGCGGCCGUAACUAUAACGGUCCUAAGGUAGCGAAAUUCCUUGUCGGGUAAGUUCCGACCUGCACGAAUGGCGUAAUGAUGGCCACGCUGUCUCCACCCGGGACUCAGUGAAAUUGAAAUCGCAGUGAAGAUGCUGUGUACCCGCGGCCAGACGGAAAGACCCCGUGAACCUUUACUACAGCUUCACACUGGACGCUGAUGUUGCUUGUGUAGGAUAGCUGGGAGGCCGGGAACUCGUGGCGCCAGCCGCGAGGGAGCCACCCUUGAAAUACCAGCCUUGCAUCAUCGGCGUUCUAACUCCGCACCGUGAGCCGGUGCGAGGACAGUGUGUGGUGGGUAGUUUGACUGGGGCGGUCUCCUCCCAAAUCGUAACGGAGGAGCACGAAGGUACCCUCAGCGCGGUUGGAAAUCGCGCAGUGAGUGCAAGAGCACAAGGGUGCUUGACUGCGAGACGGACAUGUCGAGCAGGUGCGAAAGCAGGUUCUAGUGAUCCGGUGGUUCUGCAUGGAAGGGCCAUCGCUCAACGGAUAAAAGGUACUCCGGGGAUAACAGGCUGAUACCGCCCAAGAGUUCACAUCGACGGCGGUGUUUGGCACCUCGAUGUCGGCUCAUCACAUCCUGGGGCUGAAGUCGGUCCCAAGGGUAUGGCUGUUCGCCAUUUAAAGUGGUACGCGAGCUGGGUUUAGAACGUCGUGAGACAGUUCGGUCCCUAUCUGCCGUGGGCGUCGGAAGUUUUGWGAAGUGUCUAAGCUCCUAGUACGAGAGGACCGGAGUGGACGGACCUCUGGUGUACCGGUUGUCACGCCCGUGGCAUCGCCGGGUAGCCAGGUCCGGACGGGAUAACCGCUGAAGGCAUCUAAGCGGGAAGCCCCCUUCAAGAUGAGACUUCCCCGGGGCCUUGCGCCCCCUGAAGGGCCCUCGAAGACGACGAGGUCGAUAGGCGCGGUGUGUAAGUGCGGCAACGCAUUGAGCUGACGCGUACUAAUUGCCCGUGAGGCUUGACCAUAUAACGCCCAA
RNAcentral lists this ribosomal RNA (2919 nucleotides) under Kushneria sinocarnis. Its description in RNAcentral is "bacterial LSU rRNA". It matches the Rfam family "Bacterial large subunit ribosomal RNA". Lineage: Bacteria; Pseudomonadati; Pseudomonadota; Gammaproteobacteria; Oceanospirillales; Halomonadaceae. The record is from RNAcentral.